RNAcentral lists this ribosomal RNA (308 nucleotides) under uncultured bacterium. RNAcentral's name for it is "partial 16S ribosomal RNA". It matches the Rfam family "Bacterial small subunit ribosomal RNA", at positions 505 to 807 of the family's 1533-position model. The record is from RNAcentral.
GAGACAGCAGCCGCCGCGGUAAUACGUAGGGUGCAAGCGUUAAUCGGAAUUACUGGGCGUAAAGCGUGCGCAGGCGGUUUGUUAAGACAGAUGUGAAAUCCCCGGGCUUAACCUGGGAAUGGCAGUGGAUACUAGCAAGCUAGAGUGUGUCAGAGGAUGGUGGAAUUCCCGGUGUAGCGGUGAAAUGCGUAGAGAUCGGGAGGAACAUCAGUGGCGAAGGCGGCCAUCUGGGACAACACUGACGCUGAGGCACGAAAGCGUGGGGAGCAAACAGGAUUAGAGACCCGCGUAGUCCCUGUCUCUUAUAC